RNAcentral lists this ribosomal RNA (253 nucleotides) under uncultured bacterium. RNAcentral's name for it is "partial 16S ribosomal RNA". It matches the Rfam family "Bacterial small subunit ribosomal RNA", at positions 524 to 776 of the family's 1533-position model. The record is from RNAcentral.
UACAGGGGGUGCAAACGUUGCUCGGAAUCAUUGGGCGUAAAGCGCACGUAGGCGGUCUGUUAUGUCGGAUGUGAAAGCCCUUGGCUCAACUGAGGAAGUGCAUCCGAAACUGGCAGGCUAGAGUACUAAAGAGGGUCGCGGAAUUCCCGGUGUAGAGGUGAAAUUCGUAGAUAUCGGGAGGAGCACCGGUGGCGAAGGCGGCGACCUGGGUAGAUACUGACGCUGAGGUGCGAAAGCGUGGGGAGCAAACAGG